GGACUUCCGCGAUGUACGCAUUGUUGCACAUGGCAACACAUGUAACAUCUUGUAUAUUGUCUAUGGUAAGCAAACCAUACUUUUCCUUCCUGUUUCUCACACAUGAAGUUUCAAGUUUGUUAACUUAUUUAUUAACGUGUGCCCGAAGCCAGCCUCGUACAGCCAGAGCAUCAUCUCUCUAAUUAUCUGAAAGCUAAGUAUAAUGAGUAUAUAAAAGAGGACUUGUUCGUCCCACGCAUAUAUUUCCUACAUUUAUUUAUUGUGAAAUCUAUGUAUGACUAGAUUCAAUGUACUGACCGCAAUGUGUUGAGUUGACUUAUAAAGACGUGACAUGACGUGUGAUGAUGUUGCAAGAGAACGUAAUGAUUACAUGCUCUUUGGUUACGAGCAGAGGUGUGCUUGUUUAUGUCAUGGUCAGGUCGGAGAUGCGUCUGCCGACCUGAGCCCAACCCUCGUCUGGCAUGCCAUAGAAUUGAUAGUGACCUGUAAGGGGCUCGUACACCCUUCGGAUAGGUGCACUCUUGGCCAUAGCAAGGGACUGGUGUUUCCCUCGUCUGGCAUGCCAUAGAAUUGAUAGUGACCUGUAAGGGGCUCGUACACCCUUCGGAUAGGUGCACUCUUGGCCAUAGCAAGGGACUGGUGUUUCCCUCGUCUGGCAUGCCAUAGAAUUGAUAGUGACCUGCAAGGGGCUCGUACACCCUUCGGAUAGGUGCACUCUUGGCCAUAGCAAGGGACUGGUGUUUCCCUCGUCUGGCAUGCCAUAGAAUUGAUAGUGACCUGUAAGGGGCUCGUACACCCUUCGGAUAGGUGCACUCUUGGCCAUAGCAAGGGACUGGUGUUUCCCUCGUCUGGCAUGCCAUAGAAUUGAUAGUGACCUGUAAGGGGCUCGUACACCCUUCGGAUAGGUGCACUCUUGGCCAUAGCAAGGGACUGGUGUUUCCCUCGUCUGGCAUGCCAUAGAAUUGAUAGUGACCUGCAAGGGGCUCGUACACCCUUCGGAUAGGUGCACUCUUGGCCAUAGCAAGGAACUGGUGUUUCCCUCAUUUGGCAUGCUAUGGAAUUGAUCUAUGGUUUGUGACUGGUUGCGACCAGGUCACCGCACUCCUUAUCCAGUGCAAAGGUUGACUGAUGAGACUUACCAAGACAUAGACAGUUGUGACUAUUACACAGACAUGCAUACCUAUAUAUGUACUUUGAGUCCUGUGGGACAAUGUUGAACUUUACUAUGAAUAAUGAUUUCUUGUUGUCUGUUCCUACAUACAUAUAUACAUGUUACAAUGUUUAUGUAUCUAUCUUGAGAGAUAGAUGUGUUAUAUUAUGAUACAGGUUAAGGAUACUUAGUGACCCAUGGUCAUAAAUCUAUUUUCUACACAGGUGGUGGUAUAAGAUCAAGUUAGAGCUGGCCUCUGCGCUUGGAGCUCAUGAACCAGGGAGACAUACUCCAAUUACAUCAUUUGAAUAAGGUAUGAACCGCACUGUCCAUAGAAUAACCGACCUCUCUUUCCUAAUAAUAUAAGCGAAGCAGAUCUAAGUUCAUUAAGAUAAUAAACAAGUAUACAUGACAAGUUGAUAGUAAACUUAUAUUUCAUUUAAUAAGGUCUUAGAAUCAUUAGGUAACUCGAACUCAGGCAAUCAGUCUAUUUAUCUUAGUAUUUUGUAUCAACGUCGAUACAAAAAUUGGUGGAAGAGUGUCUUGGAUUUAAUUCAGACCCACAUAAACUCAUGAAAUUAUCUAAUAAAUUAUUUACCAAAUUUAUACUAAAAUACACAAAGAGAUGGCAAAAAUAAAAUGGUCAAAACAUAUUAAGACAUGAUUUAAGUACGCAUAAUCUAUAAUGACUGCAUGAAUAUUCAAUAAUCAUGAUUAUUUGCAGUAUUUGUGACAAUAAAAUGCAAUUCUUAAGAGGUCAAAGGUCGCCCUGUGGAUAGUGUUGUUCAUACUAAUAACACAUAGAGCUACCACCUUUAAUAAUCAUACACCCAAAUUGUUUGUGUAUUGCUGAACGAUUUUGAACUUAAGUUGUACCGAAUUUAUAUCGCCAAGGUCAUAAGUACGAUGUGAUCGACUUAAAUAUCAAUAUUAAUCUUAAGUUGCGUAUUUUAUGACUUCAAAUUGAUCACAACUUUGAUAUUUCAAAUCGUCGCGCCAUUUGACGCACGCCGCGCAUGCGCGACGCGACGCGAUCUACUUCAUUCAUUCAUUCGUUCACUUCACAAGAUGGAGGAAAUUAAUUUACCAGUGGAAGUUUUACGUGAAUUGUGUUUUGUGCGAUGCUGAAAGUGUUGAAAUAAAGUGUUAUAUUUUUAUCAAGAAACAAAGGAAUUUCAAGAAAUACAGCGUAUGUGCUGACGGGUUCGGAUUGUCACAUUUCAACGAGCCGAGUGUGAAACCAAGCGUCUCUACGCGAAAAUACUUCUCUGUAUGAGGAGAUUAUAAACAUUCUUACGAAAAAAUCACAAGAAUAAGAGAGAAUAUUAUGGAAGCUAUUCUGCUGAAUCGCCUUUCUACAUUUGCCACAAACAUCAAAGAACAUCAAGUCAAAGCAUCAGAGCUAUGUGCGUGUCGUCCAUGGGGAAAGGAUGAGUCCGAACGAGCAUCUGUCGUCGCAUCCAGACUUCAAUCUAUACUUGGAAGAUUUCAAAGCGAUCUCUAUCAGUACUUCAAUCUGUCUAAAGACCCUAACGCCGAUGAGAUUUCAAAUCUAACCGCAGUACAGCUAGAAGGUGAUGACACUUUAGCCGAACUUAAGGCAAGAAUUCAAGUUGAUAAGGAUACAAGACAAGUUACGUCCGAUCCUACAAAGAAUAGAAGCAAGCUACCAGAGCUGGACCUAAUAUCUUUUCAUGGUGAGGUUCUAGAAUGGACACAAUUUUGGGACCAGUUUAGCUCCAACAUUGAUCAAAGAAACCUACGUGAUGUGGAUAAGUUGCUAUAUCUCAAAGCAUCAUUAAAGGGUGAAGCCAAAACUAUAAUCGAUGGUUUAGAAACUACAAACGAUAAUUAUAAAAUUGCCAUAGAUACUCUAAAGGAAAGAUACGGCAACAGAGUGCAGAUUAUUGAUGCUCACUAUUCUUCCUUAUACAAGAUUAAGAAAGCAGCAAGGCCGCAAGAUUGCAGAAAGACAUUGGAUGAACUCGAGAGACAUCUAAGAGUCUUACAGUCCCUAGGAGAGGACACUAAUAAAAAUCAUUUAAGAUUUCUUUUCAUGGAAAAGUUUCCUGAAGACGUCGUUUAUGAAAUGAAAUUAAAAU
Molecule: long non-coding RNA, 3252 nt
Organism: Cydia pomonella (codling moth)
Lineage: Eukaryota; Metazoa; Arthropoda; Insecta; Lepidoptera; Tortricidae
Exons: 3
Source: RefSeq, a predicted model, not a curated record